ACCUACUUGGAGAAAUAGGUAGACUCAAACGACUUAAAAUUGUUUGCUUUUUAGCGUGAGGGUUCAAAUCCCUCAGUAGGUA
Transfer RNA from Smittium culicis, 82 nucleotides. It matches the Rfam family "tRNA". From Rfam's summary of the family: Transfer RNA (tRNA) molecules are approximately 80 nucleotides in length. Their secondary structure includes four short double-helical elements and three loops (D, anti-codon, and T loops). Further hydrogen bonds mediate the characteristic L-shaped molecular structure. tRNAs have two regions of fundamental functional importance: the anti-codon, which is responsible for specific mRNA codon recognition, and the 3' end, to which the tRNAs corresponding amino acid is attached (by aminoacyl-tRNA synthetases). tRNAs cope with the degeneracy of the genetic code in two manners: having more than one tRNA (with a specific anti-codon) for a particular amino acid; and 'wobble' base-pairing, i.e. permitting non-standard base-pairing at the 3rd anti-codon position. The record is from Rfam. Lineage: Eukaryota; Fungi; Kickxellomycota; Harpellomycetes; Harpellales; Legeriomycetaceae.